GUAAACACAUGUAAUCUUACACAACCCAUUACCAAACGCUGAAGGCGAGUAUUAUAAUAUGGUGUGGCACCUCAAUGGUCCUCCUGUCUCACGGAAGAAAGGGGGCUGUUAACAUCACUGAGACAACAAUCAAUCGCCUGUUUCUCAUCGUCUGUCAGAGCGGUGUGUCAGCACACCUCUGCUUCUUCUCCUCUAAAUCGGGGUCCAAAUCUUUGCAGUCCAGCGGGCGGAUGCUCUAAUGUGGAUUUCGCCAGCAAAAAUGUAGUUGCGCAACUUUACUUUUCAUAAUAUGCACGUAAACGCAUCAGUGGCUCAUCCGGUGAGUGCUGCCCCUCUCCCCACCCCGGUCACCAUAACAGGGAAUACAGAGGAUGACCUGGCCGUGUGCCGGUUUGGCAGACGCAUGCAAACUAAAACAGCUGUAAGAUAAGCUCCUCACCUCUCACCAUACACCAAACCAAAGAGCAACAGGGCUGCACUAGUCAACAUCCGGUCUCUGACUGAAGGGGAGGUGAUCUCUGAGCUCUGCUCCAGGCUGGCAGGCUUCUCCAGCAAUGGCAGGGCAGAGGACCUGGCCACUUUACUCAGAGCAUGUGUUGAGUUUGGCCUGGAGGCCCACAGCCCUCUAGUCCUCAGGCUGAUAAAUGAGUGUCUGGAGCUCCUCUGCAACAGGGACAUUGGGGUGGCACAGCUGUGGGCCUGGGCGGGGUGAGUAUACACCCUGGAAGGCCGCCAGUCAGCCAUGGCGACAGAGGUCCUGGACUCUGUAGGGGAUGCUGUAGAAGAGGAUGGUGUCUCUCCCAGCGAGGCUGCCAGAGUCUACUCCCCUGCUGGCUUUGUGUCACGAUCCUGCCAGCCAGCAGCCGAAACUUGUUGCAAACUUUGCACGGAUACACGCAGAGGCUGGUCCAGCGGCUAAAAGCCAGUCAAGUCAGCGAUAUACUGCAGUUCCUGGCCAUUUCCCUGGUGCUGAGGCUGAGUCACAGAGCAUCUCGGGUCUUCAAAGCUUUUAGUGAUGAUGAAGUUAUUAAGGUGCUCUCUGCACUGAUGAUCCUGGGACAGCAUGAUGAGCAGCCCCUGGCUGCUAUGGAGAAACACUUAUCAGGGAGGCAGGGAAAGUGUGAUCCCGAGGUGAUCAGCACCGUCAUGGACUACUGUCUGCAAAUGAGGUGCCGCUCUGAGCCAAUCUUUGAGGCUGUGGCUGAGAACUUCGUAUGCCAUGCUGAAAGGCACACCACCCUUCAGAUAGCCAAACA
Long non-coding RNA from Perca flavescens (yellow perch), 1256 nucleotides. RefSeq lists it as uncharacterized. The transcript has 4 exons. NCBI's taxonomy places the organism in Eukaryota, Metazoa, Chordata, Actinopteri, Perciformes, Percidae. The record is from RefSeq and is a predicted model, not a curated record.